GAUCAUGGCUCAGGACGAACGCUGGCGGCGUGCUUAACACAUGCAAGUCGAGCGAUGAAGCUUCUUCGGAAGUGGAUUAGCGGCGGACGGGUGAGUAACACGUGGGUAACCUGCCUCAUAGAGGGGAAUAGCCUUCCGAAAGGAAGAUUAAUACCGCAUAAGAUUGUAAUAUCGCAUGAUAUAGCAAUUAAAGGAGUAGUCCGCUAUGAGAUGGACCCGCGUCGCAUUAGCUAGUUGGUGAGGUAACGGCUCACCAAGGCGACGAUGCGUAGCCGACCUGAGAGGGUGAUCGGCCACAUUGGGACUGAGACACGGCCCAGACUCCUACGGGAGGCAGCAGGUGGGGAAUAUUGCACAAUGGGGGAAACCCUGAUGCAGCCAACGCCGCGUGAGUGAUGACGGCCUUCGGGUUGUAAAGCUCUGUCUUCAGGGACGAUAAUGACGGUACCUGAGGAGGAAGCCACGGCUAACUACGUGCCAGCAGCAGC
This 488-nucleotide ribosomal RNA is filed under the name uncultured bacterium. RNAcentral's name for it is "bacterial SSU rRNA". It matches the Rfam family "Bacterial small subunit ribosomal RNA", at positions 15 to 518 of the family's 1533-position model. The record is from RNAcentral.